This 465-nucleotide ribosomal RNA is filed under the name uncultured bacterium. RNAcentral describes it as "partial 16S ribosomal RNA". It matches the Rfam family "Bacterial small subunit ribosomal RNA", at positions 28 to 507 of the family's 1533-position model. The record is from RNAcentral.
GACGAACGCUGGCGGCGUGCUUAACACAUGCAAGUCGAACGGAAAGGCCCCUUUUGGGGUACUCGAGUGGCGAACGGGUGGGUAACACGUGCGUAACCUGCCCUUGACUUCGGGAUAACUUCCGUAAACUGGGGCUAAUACCGGCUAGGAAUGCUUUCUUCAUGGUGGGGGUGGGAAAGCUUCGGUGGUUUUGGGUUGACUCGCGGGUUGUCAGCUUGUUGGUGGGGUAGUGGCUUACCAAGGCAUUGGCGGGUAGCCGGCCGGCGAGGGCGAGCGGCCACAGUGGGACUGAGAUACGGCCCAGACCCCUACGGGAGGCAGCCGGGGGGAAUAUUGCACCAUGGGCGGGAGCCUGAUGCAGCAAAGCCGCGGGCGGGAUGACGGCCUUCGGGUUGGAAACCGCUUUCAGCAUGGGCGAAGCCUGUAGUGACGGUACCUGCAGAAGAAGCACCGGCUAACUACGUG